CUACGGGGGGCUCCAGUGGGGAAUAUUGGACAAUGGGGGAAACCCUGAUCCAGCAAUGCCGCGUGUGUGAAGAAGGCCUGCGGGUUGUAAAGCACUUUCGGUUGGGAGGACUGCUUCUAGCACUAAUAUUGUUGGAAGUUGACGUUACCUUCAGAAGAAGCACCGGCUAACUCCGUGCCAGCAGCCGCGGUAAUACGGAGGGUGCAAGCGUGAAUCGGAAUUACUGGGCGUAAAGCGCGCGUAGGCGGCUAGAUCAGUCGGGUGUGAAAGCCCCGGGCUUAACCUGGGGACUGCAUCCGAUACUGUCUAGCUUGAGUACAGGAGAGGAGAGUGGAAUUCCACAUGUAGCGGUGAAAUGCGUAGAUAUGUGGAGGAACACCAAUGGCGAAGGCAGCUCUCUGGCCUGAUACUGACGCUGAGGUGCGAAAGCGUGGGGAGCAAACAGGAUUAGAUACCCUUGUAGUC
This 465-nucleotide ribosomal RNA is filed under the name uncultured bacterium. RNAcentral describes it as "partial 16S ribosomal RNA". It matches the Rfam family "Bacterial small subunit ribosomal RNA", at positions 339 to 795 of the family's 1533-position model. The record is from RNAcentral.